Molecule: non-coding RNA, 4393 nt
Organism: Drosophila suzukii
Lineage: Eukaryota; Metazoa; Arthropoda; Insecta; Diptera; Drosophilidae
Source: RefSeq, a predicted model, not a curated record
UUCCACUAGUAUUCUAUUGUAUUUUCGCUCAGUGUAUUUCCAGUGACUCCUGCGAUUUAGCACUUCCACCUUUCCUUCCCGUUUCGAAUAACUGUAAAGUGUGUCGCUUCUGUUGUUAGCACCUUCUACCUCUUCCCCCUCUUAUCCUUCUCCUACUCCGCCUCCGCCUCCUUCCCGCUCUUCUUCUUCCACGCACGUCACGCUGGUAUAAAAAAAAGAAGAAUUUCCAGCCAUGUGCUUGCGAUUAAGAAACUUUAUUCGCUUCAUUGUUGUUGGCAAAUGAUAAGUGCCCCCUUGCGGGUGUGUGGGUUCGUGUCGUCGUCUAUGUGUGUUUUGUUCUAAUACAUUACAUAAUCGCCAAAUGAAAUUCGCCCAUUGCUUUUUUGGCAACAUCGAAAUGUCGCUAAAAAUAAAACUCUGUUUUUUCGGGUUUAACGAACUCUUCUCUUUGGCCCGCCCAAUUUCUUUGGGUUCUUUCAUUUUAUUUGGGAAAUUUCCACAAGUCCGGCUUACAUUUUUUUUUUGGCCUUACCUUACCUUAUUCUUGUAAAUUUACAACAACAAAAACAACUGCCACGGCGCAGAGCGCAAUUAAGGAAAAGAGAGUAAGAGAGUGUGUCGAGAGAGAAGAGAAAAAUACAGAGACUCUUUUCCCCCUCUCUUUUGUUCCGUUUUCCCAUGCGUGUCACUUUAUUGUUGUUGUUGCCAAAAAAGAAAGACAAAAAAAAUACCAUCUCGUUCUUGCAAAAGAGAAGUGUCCGCCGAAUGACCUUAAAGGAGAAGGAGGAGCAGCCCGCCCACUCACCAAACACCACCCACCACCCACCGCCCACCGGCAACGAUGCACAUUGCAUGUAUGUGGAUUGCAUAAUGUUAAACAACAAAAAAAUCGAAAAGUUAAAAUCUGCGAUUUGAUAAUUGAAAAAUCAAUAUCACACGCACACAGUCGGCUGGCACACAUACACACGAAAAAAGGGCUCGCAGGACGAGCCUCCUUUUGAUUUUUUUCGGGGGUGUUUUUCUUUGACCUGCGUUGGGUAAUAUUUAUACCGGAAAAAAUUAAGGUCAUCCUAAGACGUGUGAAAAAAAAUUGAAAAUACAUCUAUGGUAUAACAAGUCUAGCAUAAAAAAUUCUAGGUCAGAUUGGCAUUAAAAUAAUUCGACUUUCAUAAAUUAGAUUGAAAAGGAUCGAUUUUUUUUAUAAAAAAAAAUAAAACUUAUUUCUCACCGUGUAGAUUGGCCAAAUGUUAUGCACAUUCCCUGGUUCUCGUUCUUCUUGUUCUGCCGACGCUGGCAGAGUGCCAAAAAAACGCUUUGACGUCGGCAGAGGCGAUUUAUUUAACUUUUGUUUUUGCCAUUUACUUGUUUUGUCUAUAAAUAAUGGCUGUAAAUGUUAAGCCACAUAAGGCUUUUGACUAAAAAGCUUAAUUUGUUUUCUGUCUACUUUCCAUUUAAUAUUCAAGCAGGUUUUUUUUUUAUUUUAGGCAACAAAUUAUAAAAGGUCCCCCUUUUUUGCUCAGUGUUUUGGCCAAAAACAAAAUAAUAAACGGUUGUUUUAUUUGCGUUUGACGUAGCUUGUCGAAAUGGCAACACGCGAAAUGUUUUAUCGCCUCUUCGCUAAUACGUCACAAAUCGUGACGAUUCUUACGUAACGCCCACGGCCCUUUUUCCCCAAAACAAACUAAGAGAGAGAGAGUAAAGAAAGUAGAGAGAGUGUAGAGAUAGAGAGGGCAAAAAACAGAAGAAAAAGCGAAAAAGUAAACAGAUGAUCAGCGAUUGCAUAAGAGCAAAUGCAUAAUUUAUACUCUGUAUAUGUACACAUCAUUUGUAUAUUAAGUUUUACGGUCGCAGUGGAUUUUUUUUUGAUUAGGGAAUCUAAAUCGGGACUUUAUGACCAGUGGGCAAAGCUCAAGUGGACCUUUUCCACCUGGAUGGAUGGAUUACCAAUCCAGAAUUCUGGUUAUGCGCGAGAUAACGCCGCCCAACGGGCGUCAUGGAAAGUUUGAGGUCUCGAGAUAUAUACGAGAUAAAGGGGGCCCCAAAUCUUCGCAUCGAUGGGGGCGUAUUAUGUGAGGUAUUUCGCCAGAAGAGUUCCAUAUAUAAAUAGAUAAAACUUUAUAGAGAAAGUAUUCAAGCUUUAUCGUCGGUACAAUAAAUAAUUAAUAGAACUAUCAUAUAUUACCAUUUCUUAUCAAUAAACCUAUGCUUUUGGUUAUCAGAACAGGGUUUUUCUCACCAAUAAAAGCUUUAUUAGGCAGACGUUGAUAGUAUGUGAAAUGUUCAUACUUACUUUUUAUAUGCUAAGUUAAAUAAUCAACGGAUUGCAAUAAACCUAUUGAUUUUACAAUAAUAUGUUUUAAUCUAAGGGUUAUGCAAUGCAAGUGGCUCAAUAACAGUGUCACCUUGGCGGGACAAUGCAUUGUUUAACUGCAUUUAAAUACCUCGUAAACAUAUUAAUCUUAUUAAUAUUUGCAAACAAUGAUGCUAAGUACUGUCCCCAAUUGAGGAAAUAUCAGCAUAACUGAUAAUUGUACUCUCUGGUACACCUAUCCGAAAAAGCCCCGCCCUGUCUCUGUAAAAGCCCCCUUUUAUGACCCCCCUCCAUUUCGGCCUGAUAAGCGUGACAAAUUUGCUGCUGGGCACAUGAUCGGUAGACGUAGCCAUAUCGCUGAUAAAGCGGACACGCAAAGCCCCCCAACCAACUGGGAAAAUAAGGUGUUAACUCAAUCAGUUUUUUAUUUUUAUUUGUGUUUAUAUUUAGGCGAUUUCGCAAUGCGCAAAUGAGCAGGAUUCAACAUGCAAAUUUGUUGUCAGGUAACAAAUAAACAACGGUUUCAAGGCGGUUUUAAAGAUACUAAUGUAUCUAAAUGAUUGAUGGACUGGGCAGAAGUCGAAACAAGGCUAUAUGUUUGAAAUAAGAACUUUUUCCUAUUUCCGAUCCGUGAUAUUAAAUGCCAUAAUCACCAUCUAUUUUCAUUGUUCGUAGUCAAUUUCUUUAAAUAUACUGAAAAAGCGAGUAGCCCAUUUCGCUUAUCAGUUUUUCAAGCUUUUUCCCUUUCAUUUCUUGAAUACACUGAGAUUACAAAAAAUUAUGUGAAAACUUUUCAAGAACCGGAAUUUAGCCAAAGUAAUAUGUAAAUUAGUCUCUGCUUACGACGCAUGCCUACUUUUCUCGCAAAAGCCCCAUUAUGAUCUUUGCUUAGUCAGAAUUUUUACAGCUUUUAAAUGACUGACUGAAGGGAAAACAUACGACCCGGCAACAACAGACGUCUGAAGUUUGUUCAACUGAUCCGAUCCAAACCGAACCGAUUUUAGUUAAGUUGAGUUGAGUUAAGUUGAGUGGCGGGAUUACGUCAGGCGGUACUUUCAAUGCGAUGCGAUUGUGUGAUGUCUGUUUACUUUCGGAGACACAAUAAAAACUAUAGAGAAUGGCAAACGUAAUUAAGACGAUUAACUCGGACUGCAAUUAUUAGACGACUGACAAGCGGUCUCUAAUAGCAGAAAUCAUCAAACCGAAUUGAAAACGUCACGCGAGGCAAGGAGAACCCAAGGUUCUAAAAUCCAAAGCCCGCAACCCCUUUGAAAAACCCCCAUUACCAUCCCGAUCCUCAACCCAUUACAGUGAGAUCAAACAGUUUUCGUGAUGAUCAUUCAAAUGCAAUGGAACUACAGUGAUCGUUCGGAAAUGGGCUUUCUAGUUGCAUGGAGUUAAUUGCGAAUUUAUAUGGUUCAUAUGCCUUAUACAAUAGGAAAAUUACACUAAUUAACUUAUUCAAUUGGGUUCGGUGUUCUAUAAAUUAUUAGGAAAUUAAAAAGAAACGUACUAUAAUACCAUACCAUGAAGCAUCACUGUAGUCUGGGUGCGAGAACACUUGAUUCCAGCUCCAUCGAUACGGGGUCAUCUGCGGCUCACCUCGAUGACAACUCUGCUCUGUACUCGUGGCUCGAGGCUCGAGGCUUUCCCGGCAUUUUCAAGGUUUUCCGUUUUUGCACCUUAAUGAAGUAUACUAACAUAUAUUUCUGUAUAUUGCAUAAUUACUGGAUCGUUCGAUCGUUUUGGGGCGGCGAAAGGAAGUCUGCUGGCGCCGUCAAAACACGCGACUCCGAUUUCGAAUCGCUUCCUUGAUGACAACGCAACCUACGACUAAGACUAAGACUAAGACUAAAACUAAGACUACGACUGCGACUGCGACUACGACUAGUUAGACAUGCGAUAAUUGCCGGCGCGUGAGACCUUGAAUUUCAUUUGGUUUACUUGCCGUUCGGCUUAUCAGCAGAUGAACGCGCGCCUCUGCGCCAGAUAAUGACCCCUCAAAUUGUAUACAAAUGUAUUCUCGACCAACUUGAGGCCCGUUUCAAGUACCCCCCUCAAAAAAAAAAUAAAAUAAUGAAG